GGUGUGCUGCCUUUCUUCCAGUGCCGACAAGAUGGCUAGUUUGUCGCCCCGUAACCCUGGUGGUGGGCUCCCAUGACUGCCUCCUGGGUUACCUACCACUUAGGUAGCAUCUCAUCUCCCUCUGCUCACUCACUCGCUGACUGAGCUGCAGCGUUUGUAAACAAUAGUGUGUCUACUGUUGAGGUUCAUGGGAUUUCCCAUCUUGGAGUGUAAUACUAACUCUUAAGUGUUGUACUUGCACAUGUAAUGCUGCGCAAGAAGGUACACAUACUCGGGCCAGGC
Triticum dicoccoides is the source of this 282-nucleotide long non-coding RNA. RefSeq lists it as uncharacterized. The transcript has 3 exons. The record is from RefSeq and is a predicted model, not a curated record. NCBI's taxonomy places the organism in Eukaryota, Viridiplantae, Streptophyta, Magnoliopsida, Poales, Poaceae.